GAGUACACGUGAGUAACCUGCCCUUGACUUUGGGAUAACUUCAGGAAACUGGGGCUAAUACCGGAUAGGAGCUCCUGCUGCAUGGUGGGGGUUGGAAAGUUUCGGCGGUUGGGGAUGGACUCGCGGCUUAUCAGCUUGUUGGUGGGGUAGUGGCUUACCAAGGCUUUGACGGGUAGCCGGCCUGAGAGGGUGACCGGCCACAUUGGGACUGAGAUACGGCCCAG
Molecule: ribosomal RNA, 224 nt
Filed under: uncultured Actinomycetales bacterium
Lineage: Bacteria; Bacillati; Actinomycetota; Actinomycetes; Actinomycetales
Description: partial 16S ribosomal RNA
Rfam family: Bacterial small subunit ribosomal RNA
Source: RNAcentral